Long non-coding RNA from Mauremys reevesii (Reeves's turtle), 2187 nucleotides. RefSeq lists it as uncharacterized. The transcript is spliced from 3 exons. NCBI's taxonomy places the organism in Eukaryota, Metazoa, Chordata, Testudines, Geoemydidae. The record is from RefSeq and is a predicted model, not a curated record.
GAAGAAUUCGGCUGUGACCAGUCACCGUCUUGGUAGCAGAGAGUGGAGAGACCUGUGGGGACCAGGAAGGCUCCUGCAGGAUCCUGGACUGGAACCCAGUGUAGUGGGUGAGCCUGGGUUCCCCUACCACCCUGCAGGAAGGUGCUGCAAAGCCCCCUGACAUGAGGGAGCAAGGACAAUUUAAAGCCCUGAGAGAAGAGUGUGAAGACCACGGGACCAAGAGGUGGAGCGGACUAGGUGUAAAGACACUGGAUUUCCUGUUGGACUUUCUUUUACCUGUCCAGUGGGUCAAGUCGCGGGAAAAGAGACCUGCACAGGAAGAGAGCGAUUGCCUGCAGCAGGUGCUAAAGAGGACAGAGCAGCUACUCCAUGCCCAGCAAUGAGUUCAGUCUCCUGCACCUUCAUAUGAAUUAAAACACGUAAUGUGCAAACACACUGACAAGAGCGGGUGACAGUUACCGAGUGGCUACUUCUCCCCCUGUGAAAGUGCCCAUUGGCAGGUCAGCAACACCUAAUGGCUAACAGUAACAAAGUCUGCUGAAUGCUAAUAAAAUCCAUAUGUCCUUUUGCCAACAGGACGGCACUGACUGAGGAUUCAAGCCUCUGUACCAACCGUGAGUCAUCUUGUUUGGCACCAGAGCAGAAUGUGUUUAUUAUGACCUAAAAUGUUAAUGCAAAAAUAUGGGUGUGGAGUAUGUGUUGCUUUAUGUUGGCAGAGGAUUUGCCUUGGAGGCCAGACUGCCUUACUCUACCAGAUGCUCUGCUAAUUUGAGAGUCUGAGGCAGCUGAAUGCACCUGACAAAGGAGAAAAUAGCUUCACUGAGACUUUCCCUUCUGUUGAUUUUGAUGUUUUCUUCUUGUCUUCCAAAAAUCACCCUCCCAUCUGAUCCUGAGAUCACUGUUACUGGUGUCAAUCAGGAGUAACUCUACUGGCAUCCAUGGAGUUACCCUGGUGUAUGUCAGAGGAGAAUCCAGCCCAGUGUUGGAUGUGGUUUAAAUGAAGUUAUAAACACGUAAGAAAGAACGUGGCAUUGCCCUCACAUUGUUCAAGCUUGAAGGACAAUUCAAGUACAACGUGAACUGCUAAGAAGCUGAAGAAGGCACACAAAGCAUAUGCCAUGCAGUGUGGUCCCUGUACCCUCUAUUAGGGAUCAUAUGUUAGUGGUGUAAGAUAAAGCUUCCCUCAGUUUGCUCUAACCAGGGGAGAACGAAGUCUCCUGACUCAAUGGGUGCACUGUACUAAACUCUAGUGUAAUUGCAGUAAAUCAGAUAAUAGCUUCUUGGACAUAAUUUUGAGUUGUAAUGAAGGAGGGCACUGACCACCCCCAGCAGCACCCACUUUCCAGGCACUGCAAUCCUAAUCCUGGCCUGGUGAGGUGGAGGAAGGCCAUGGGGUGUGGUAGGGCAGGACAGUGAGCCCUCUCUGCACUCACCCAACAGUGGCACCUCCUGUCCCACAAGGCUGGGCCUGGCUCGCCACUUCAGGCAUUGCAACCUGGCACAUGGGGUUGCAGUGCCACUUAGAUUUGGCACCCUUGGUUGUGUGAUUUCUGUGGGUGCAAUUGAACCCACGGUAAAGCCACCCCGGCUCUAACUGAUGCUGGGGCCAAGCUGGUGCAGAAUCAGGGAGCUGUAACUGGCUGCCUUACAUUUCCCCCUCUUCCUGUGCAAAGUGGAGUUCAGACGCAGGGGAGGAUGGAGCGCUGCGUACUGGUUUAUCACAACCAUAGUUUCAGGCUGUUAGUAAAGUAACUGCAGCAAGAGGUGCUCAGCAGGCUUUCAGCUUGGAUCUCUGCAGGGGAGAAGGGGUAGAGUAUGUUAACUCUUUAUGCUAACACAUUUCCCUGGUGUAAUGUUUGCAAACUGUAUAACAUGUUGCCAGGUGAUAUUCUGCUUAAUCUAAAACCUGAGUAAAGAUAAAAGUUGAUGUAGGAAAGAGAGAGAGAGAAACACAAUGUUGACAUCAUGAACAAUAAUUGCAAAAAAUAUAUCUCUGUAUCAUAAAUAAAAUGUAGCAUUUACAUAGUGCUUUUCAGCAGACAGUAGCUAAGCCUUCUAAGCAGACAGCCUUCUAAGAUACAGGGCAGUAAAUAUUAUCCUCAUUAUUCCACAAAUGUGGACAAAUUCUUGCUUCCAGUAUGCAGGUGAACAAGGGCCCUUCACACCUGGAAUGGUAUAACAACACUA